UACCACUUCUCAAACCUUAUCUAAAGCGUACCAAUCACAACAUCUUCGCUUUCCCUGUCAUCUUCCUUACUGAAUCCGUCUCAAUACAUAUCUAUCAAACUUAUUUCUUCUAAUUAUCUCCUUUGGAAGUCCCAAUUGUUGCCUCUUCUUAGUGGGUAUAACCUGUCCCAACACAUCUCCACCACCUCUGUUCCUUUGUCUCCAAUACUUUGAUGACAACACCACCUCGAAUCCUACUUAUCAGAUUUGCUACCAUUAGGAUUAGCUAGUUCUUAGCUAGAUCUUCUCGUCAUAUCUGAGACUAUCCUCCCUCAGGUCAUUGGAUUGACAACAGCAAAAGAAGCUUGGAAUAAGCUUGCUGCCAUUUUUGCUAUUGGAAGUCGCACCCAAAUUUUACAGCUUUGUAAACAGCUCAAAAGGUUGGCUAAAGGUACUGAUUGUAUUGAUGUCUUCAUGAAACGUGCAAGGACUAUUGCUGAUCAAUUAUCAGUGCUUCAGCCACCAAUCUUUGAAGAGUCGUCGGUGAAUGACAUUCUGGAAGGGUUAGGUCCAGAAUUUCGACCAUUUAUUCGGGCUAUUCAGGCCAGAAAUGCGCCUAUUGAGUUUGCUGAUUCGUUUGCACUCUUGCUGAGCGAGGAAGCUUAAAUGAAAAUGGAAUCUAUCUCGAUUUACUCUUCAGUUCCGCCUUCUGCCCAUGUUGUUACUCGUACGCCCUCAAAUGCACGGAAUCCUGGACAAGGCCGUGGUCACUCUUUCGUGAAUCAUUCUACAAAUGAUACAUGUUUGUCUCAAUGUGACAUGUCAUAAUUGCUGUGGCCAAGGACAUUUAGCAUGCUAUUGUCCAUCCCUGAAGAUUAAACACAAUUCAAGCCAAAAUAUCUGAUCCUCUCAGCCCACUAUCUAUCUAGCCUCAACUGACAAUUCCUCGAUGGAGGAAUGGACUGUGGAUUCGGAAGCCAACUUCCAUCUCACAUCCAAUAAUGAUAAUCUCGCAAAUUCCACACCAUAUCAUGGAAUUGAUGAAGCCGUUAUAGGCAAUGCAUAUUCACUCGAAGCAAGUGUUGUACACCGGUCGGAGUAAUGGUGGUCUCUACACCGUGCCUCUUCAAAUGUCUAAAGUUCAACCUGAAGUCAACUCAGUGGAAUUUAGAACUUGGCAUGCCCGUCUUGGUUAUGCUAAUACUCAAUUGUUCGUUAAUUUUUUAAUUCUCAUGAUAUUUCUCAUUCUAAAAAUAAUUUGUUUAAUAGUCCAUGUCAUUUGUGUAGUGUUAGUAAGAUGCAUAAACUUCUGUAUAUUGAUUCUCAUUCAGUUGUUAAUAAACCACUUGAGUUGAUGUGUUCUGAUGCA
This is a long non-coding RNA of Hevea brasiliensis (rubber tree), 1348 nucleotides long. RefSeq lists it as uncharacterized. The transcript is spliced from 2 exons. The record is from RefSeq and is a predicted model, not a curated record. Lineage: Eukaryota; Viridiplantae; Streptophyta; Magnoliopsida; Malpighiales; Euphorbiaceae.